This 58-nucleotide transfer RNA is filed under the name Histiostoma blomquisti. RNAcentral's name for it is "tRNA-Tyr". The record is from RNAcentral. Lineage: Eukaryota; Metazoa; Arthropoda; Arachnida; Sarcoptiformes; Histiostomatidae.
UGUGGAAAAUGGGGGUUUAUUGGGGAGCUGUAAACUCUUUCUUUUUUUGCCUCUACAC